GACGAACGCUAGCGGCGUGCCUAAGGUAUGCAAGUCGAACGGUCUCGCGCAAGCGGGACAGUGGCGCACGGUCGAGUAACACGUAGACAACCUGCCUCCCAGCGGGGGAUAACAGGCCGAAAGGACUGCCAAUACCGCAUACGCCCGGAAGGGGCCUCCCUUCUAUGGCAAAGGCUUCGGUCACUGGGAGAUGGGUCUGCGGCCUAUCAGCCUGCUGGUGAGGUAACGGCNCACCAGGGCGACGACGGGUAGCGGGUCUGAGAGGAUGAUCCGCCGGGACGGGGACUGAGACACGGCCCCGACUCCUUCGGGAGGCAGCAAUGAGGAGUAUUGCGCAAUGGGCGAAAGCCUGACGCAGCGACGCCGCGUGGGUGAGGAAGUCC
Molecule: ribosomal RNA, 383 nt
Filed under: uncultured bacterium
Lineage: Bacteria
Description: bacterial SSU rRNA
Rfam family: Bacterial small subunit ribosomal RNA
Source: RNAcentral